Molecule: non-coding RNA, 78 nt
Organism: Myotis brandtii (Brandt's bat)
Lineage: Eukaryota; Metazoa; Chordata; Mammalia; Chiroptera; Vespertilionidae
Source: Rfam
GGUGGUUCUUUGGUGACGCACCCCGGAAUCAGGCUCCCUCCUCUCUAGUUCUUCCGGGUGUGUCACCAGAGAACCGCA